This 1147-nucleotide long non-coding RNA is filed under the name Equus caballus (horse). Its description in RNAcentral is "lncRNA (ENSECAG00000057335.1)". Lineage: Eukaryota; Metazoa; Chordata; Mammalia; Perissodactyla; Equidae. The record is from RNAcentral.
CCACCCUUAUCCCCAGCCCAGCUCCAACUGCCGCACUAGGUCCUUGUUCUCUUUGGCCUAUCCCUGCCCACACUGAGGUUCAGUCCUACUCAUACCUUGGGCUCACUCCAGUGCCCUCCUGCCCAGAUUUCAGACCUGACAGCCAGGUAGACCCCCUCCCCUCAAGAAGCCUUGGUGAUCCAACCACCUUCAGUACUGAUGCCCCUUCUCCCACAGCUUCGUGUGGUAAGAGUUCUCCUGGGGCAGAGUGAAGCCCCCUCCUCUUCCCACCCCUCUCCGAGGCUGGGCCCAUAGAGGGGAGAAUCAGUGAAGGUGCAGAGGCAGACAAACAUGCCCUGGGGGUCUCCUGGGGGCCUAGAGAUCAGUGGACCUCCUGUGCCCAGCUUGCUCCCCUUUCCCCACACAGCUUCCCCUGGCUGCUCAGAGAAGAGAAGGUGCCUGGAGAGAGGUACAAGGAGUCCUAAGAAGUGAGAGUGGCCCAGGCCUCACUCAACCUUAGAGCAGGGCCAGGACGGUGAGGCAAGUGAGGUGCCUAGGACCCAAAAUUUAAGAAGGCAAGUGCAGGGGCUGGCCCAGUGGCUGAGUGGUUAAGUUCCUGCGCUCCACUUCAGCAGCCCAGGGUUUUGCCAGUUCGGAUCCUGGGGGCAGACAUGGCACCGCUCAUCGGGCCAUGCUGAGGUGGCGUCCCACAUAGAACAGCCAGAGGCACUCACAACUAGAAUAUACAACUAUGUACUGGGGGGCUUUGUUAGCUCAGGUGCCAAUCUAAAAAAAUAAAAAAAAACCAAGAAGGUAAGUGCAGGGUCCCCGGGAGUGAGUGUACCUAAGGUACCUCUAGUCCCAGCCUCACUGAACUAGGACACCCCCCACCUCCGCCGCCGGGAGCCUCCACAGAAGUGGGGGGUCCUAGAGAAUAAGGCUGGAGAGGAGGAACUCCUGCUCUGGGUCAGGGUGGACAUGAUACCCAGGAAACCCAGAAAAAAGCAGAUGGAGAAUGACUAUGCCUCUUUCAGUUCAAAAAUGGGUACACACUGCCACCCUGUGGCCAUCCAGGGCAGGAUUCCCAAGACUGUUUCCAGGGCGGCACUGGCAGAGGCAAACCAAGAUACACAGCACCUCACCCAGCUCUGAAUUUCUUAAAUUGCAG